RNAcentral lists this ribosomal RNA (440 nucleotides) under uncultured bacterium. Its description in RNAcentral is "partial 16S ribosomal RNA". It matches the Rfam family "Bacterial small subunit ribosomal RNA", at positions 338 to 795 of the family's 1533-position model. The record is from RNAcentral.
CCUACGGGCGGCUGCAGUGGGGAAUAUUGCACAAUGGGGGAAACCCUGAUGCAGCGACGCCGCGUGAGUGAAGAAGGAACUCGGUAUGUAAAGCUCUAUCAGCAAGGACGAAAAUGACGGUACCAGUGUAAGAAUCCCCGGCUAACUACGUGCCAGCAGCCGCGGUAAUACGUCGGGGGCAAGCGUUAUCCGGAUUUACUGGGUGGAAAGGGAGCGUAGAUGGCUGUGCAAGUCUGGAGUGAAAGGCGGGGGCUCAACCCCAGGACUGCUCAGGAAACUGUACGGCUGGAGUGCAGGAGAGGGAAGUGGAAUUCCUAGUGUAGCGGUGAAAUGCGUAGAUAUUAGGAAGAACACCAGUGGCGAAGGCAGCUUACUGGACUGUAACUGACGUUGAGGCUCGAAAGCGUGGGGAGCAAACAGGAUUAGAUACCCGAGUAGUC